UACGGAGGAUGUGAGCGUUAUCCGGAUUUACUGGGUGUAAAGGGAGCGUAGACGGCAUGGCAAGUCUGGAGUGAAAGCCCGGGGCCCAACCCCGGGACUGCUCUGGAAACUGCCAGGCUAGAGUGCUGGAGAGGUAAGUGGAAUUCCUAGUGUAGCGGUGAAAUGCGUAGAUAUUAGGAGGAACACCGGUGGCGAAGGCGGCUUACUGGACCGUAACUGACGUUGAGGCUCGAAAGCGUGGGGAUCAA
RNAcentral lists this ribosomal RNA (248 nucleotides) under uncultured Lachnospiraceae bacterium. RNAcentral's name for it is "partial 16S ribosomal RNA". It matches the Rfam family "Bacterial small subunit ribosomal RNA", at positions 524 to 771 of the family's 1533-position model. The record is from RNAcentral. Lineage: Bacteria; Bacillati; Bacillota; Clostridia; Lachnospirales; Lachnospiraceae.